CCUACGGGUGGCAGCAGUGAGGAAUAUUGGUCAAUGGCCGGGAGUCUGAACCAGCCAAGUAGCGUGAAGGAUGACUGCCCUAUGGGUUGUAAACUUCUUUUAUAAGGGAGUAAAACGAGGCUCGUGUGCUGCUUUGCGUGUACUUUAUGAAUAACGAUCGGCUACCUCCGUGCCAGCAGCCGCGGUAAUUCGGAGGUUCCGGGCGUUAUCCGGAUUUAUUGGGUUUAAGGGGUGCGGAGAGGGGUUGUUAAGUCAGGUGGUAAAGUUUGGGGGUCAACCGUAAAAGUGCUAUUGAGACUGGAUGUCGUGAGUGCAGUUGGGGUAGGCGGAAGUCGUGGUGUAGCGGUGAAAUGCUUAGAUAUCACGAAGAACACCGAUUGCGAAGGCAGCUUACUAGACCGUAACUGACGUUGAUGCUCGAAAGCGUGGGUAUCAAACAGGAUUAGAUACCCUUGUAGUC
RNAcentral lists this ribosomal RNA (460 nucleotides) under uncultured bacterium. RNAcentral's name for it is "partial 16S ribosomal RNA". It matches the Rfam family "Bacterial small subunit ribosomal RNA", at positions 338 to 795 of the family's 1533-position model. The record is from RNAcentral.